This 1738-nucleotide small RNA is filed under the name Pan troglodytes (chimpanzee). RNAcentral describes it as "retained intron". Lineage: Eukaryota; Metazoa; Chordata; Mammalia; Primates; Hominidae. The record is from RNAcentral.
GCAGUCCAAUUCGGUAAGUUCUCUAAAAUUGUAGAAUAAAGUUUACUAUAUUAGUGAUUUUUUUCCAAAUGUUGACUUAUGUCUCUAGCUAUCACUAAUUUUUCAGUUACCAGUGGGAACUCUGUGAAUUUCAUUUAAAUCAUAAGUGAAUGUCAUACUACAACUAAAGUACUGCAGUACAAUGAACACAGUUUUUAACUAUGUAAACUUGCUACUACUAGAUUUUAAAUAUCACCUCAGCACCCCUGUCAGCUUUUGUAUGUAGAAUGAUAGUUCUUUGUUUUCCUGAAAAGGUUUAUGAUACGGGAAAACUUUUGGGCCAUUUGUACAGGAAAGUGGGCUUUACUGGUAUGGCCCUGGCACCAAAUGCAUGUUUACCUGUGCUGCUGAGAAUCUGUCCCCUCCGAAGUGUGGGCAGCUGUGUGUGCUAUUAGCGGGGAGGGAUGUUGCUUCUUGGUUCCAGACCCAACUCUGUCAGGCUCUUGCGGAGAUGAGUUAAGCACAUUGAACCUCAGUUUCCUCUUCUAUAAAACGGGGAUAAUAAUAACUACCCUGCUUAUUUCAUAAGGUUUUUAUAAAGAUCAAAUGAGAUAAUGUAUGGGUAAGUGUUUUAAGUCUUUAGUUUGUAAAUACAAUUUUGUUAGAAAAUAGAAAUAAAUUUCAGUUUUAGACAAUUACAUAACCAGCUUUCUUUUAAGAAAAUACAUAAAUAUGUGAGUUAGCUGGAUGCCAGCUCAUCUUUGUAGUGGAGAUAGGGAAAAUCAGUUAACAUUUUUUUUCUCACAAGUAACUUGCUUCAUUCAAUAGAUUUGAUAUACUUUUGGAUGAUUUAGAUACUGUUCCUGUGUCUACAUUACAACGUACCAAUCCAAGAAAGCAACUCCAGUUUCUUCCUCUAGAUGACUCGGAAGAAAAAACUUAUUCUGAGAAAGCCACCGAUAACCAUGUUAAUCAUAGCUCUUGCCCUGAACCGGUGCCAAAUGGAGUGAAGAAAGUAUCUGUGAGAACAGCCUGGGAGAAGAAUAAAUCAGUUAGCUAUGAACAGUGUAAGCCGGUUUCAGUCACUCCACAGGGGAAUGAUUUUGAAUAUACAGCAAAAAUUCGGACCCUAGCUGAAACAGAACGAUUUUUUGAUGAACUUACAAAAGAAAAGGACCAGAUUGAGGCAGCACUAAGCAGGAUGCCUUCUCCUGGAGGACGAAUCACUUUACAGACAAGAUUAAAUCAGGAAGCCUUGGAAGAUCGUUUGGAAAGGAUUAAUCGAGAGCUGGGUUCAGUUCGCAUGACGCUAAAGAAAUUCCAUGUUUUGCGCACCUCUGCAAAUCUUUGAGAUUUGUAGCCAUUAAAUUUUGAGACAUUUUUGUUUGCACUAAUGUAUAAUUAUGCAGUCAGAAAAGGCAAACUAUUUUGUACUGUUUAUAAGCCUUCAAACAGUAGUUUUACAAUCAUGCUAUUCUUACACUUGCUAUUUUAUACUUCAAAUGGCCACAUAUUUUCAAGAUAUUUUUGUUAUGCUCAGGAAUCUCUUGUAUAUUUUACUAUUUAAAAAGCAUUAUUUUUAAAUAGUAUAUGUCUCCAAUUUAUAUCAAGAAUAAGGAAAUAUAAACAGAGGAAGCAGCUUGUUUCUAAACAAAUAGUGUUAUCCUUUUACAAUUAACUGCACACCAAUUUUAUAAACUUGUUCUACAUUGUAAAUACAAUUCAUUUUUAAAAAAAUAAAGCUUAAUAGCUUCCAUAA